UACGUAGGGCGCGAGCGUUGUCCGGAAUUAUUGGGCGUAAAGAGCUCGUAGGUGGCUUGUUGCGUCUGCCGUGAAAGCCCGUGGCUUAACUACGGGUCUGCGGUGGAUACGGGCAGGCUAGAGGCUGGUAGGGGCAAGCGGAAUUCCUGGUGUAGCGGUGAAAUGCGCAGAUAUCAGGAAGAACACCAAUGGCGAAGGCAGCUCUCUGGGACGGUACUGACGCUGAGACGCGAAAGCGUGGGGAGCGAACAGG
This 253-nucleotide ribosomal RNA is filed under the name uncultured bacterium. RNAcentral describes it as "partial 16S ribosomal RNA". It matches the Rfam family "Bacterial small subunit ribosomal RNA", at positions 524 to 776 of the family's 1533-position model. The record is from RNAcentral.